CGGGAUGCAGCAGUGGGGAAUAUUGCACAAUGGGCGAAAGCCUGAUGCAGCAACGCCGCGUGAGGGACGAAGGCCUUCGGGUUGUAAACCUCUUUUAGUAGGGAAGAAGCGAAAGUGACGGUACCUGCAGAAAAAGCACCGGCUAACUACGUGCCAGCAGCCGCGGUAAUACGUAGGGUGCAAGCGUUGUCCGGAAUUAUUGGGCGUAAAGAGCUCGUAGGCGGUUUGUCGCGUCUGCUGUGAAAUCUGGGGGCUCAACCCCCAGCCUGCAGUGGGUACGGGCAGACUAGAGUGCGGUAGGGGAGAUUGGAAUUCCUGGUGUAGCGGUGGAAUGCGCAGAUAUCAGGAGGAACACCAAUGGCGAAGGCAGAUCUCUGGGCCGUUACUGACGCUGAGGAGCGAAAGCGUGGGGAGCAAACAGGAUUAGAUACCCCCGU
Molecule: ribosomal RNA, 437 nt
Filed under: uncultured Microbacteriaceae bacterium
Lineage: Bacteria; Bacillati; Actinomycetota; Actinomycetes; Micrococcales; Microbacteriaceae
Description: bacterial SSU rRNA
Rfam family: Bacterial small subunit ribosomal RNA
Source: RNAcentral